This 301-nucleotide ribosomal RNA is filed under the name uncultured bacterium. RNAcentral's name for it is "partial 16S ribosomal RNA". It matches the Rfam family "Bacterial small subunit ribosomal RNA", at positions 509 to 807 of the family's 1533-position model. The record is from RNAcentral.
CAGUCGCCGCGGGAAUACGAAGGGGGCUAGCGUUGCUCGGAAUGACUGGGCGUAAAGGGCGCGUAGGCGGAUGGCACAGUCAGAUGUGAAAUUCCCGGGCUUAACCUGGGGGCUGCAUUUGAUACGUGUUGUCUAGAGUGAGGAAGAGGGUCGUGGAAUUCCCAGUGUAGAGGUGAAAUUCGUAGAUAUUGGGAAGAACACCGGUGGCGAAGGCGGCGACCUGGUCCUUUACUGACGCUGAGGCGCGAAAGCGUGAGGAGCAAACAGGAUUAGAUACCCGGGUAGUCCCUGUCUCUUAUAC